This 1241-nucleotide long non-coding RNA is filed under the name Calidris pygmaea (Spoon-billed sandpiper). Its description in RNAcentral is "lncRNA (ENSCPGG00000018360.1)". The record is from RNAcentral. Lineage: Eukaryota; Metazoa; Chordata; Aves; Charadriiformes; Scolopacidae.
CCAGAAGCUGUGUGGGUUAAACUGCAAGUUUUGGAGAUGAGCUGUUGGGAGGCCCAUCCGGCACGUAUCACAUGGAUAUCUCUCUCUUUACAGGGCUGGGAAAGAAACCCAAAGUCGUGACUCCGGCGGAGCCCUGCGUGUCUCCAAAAGCCCUGCUCUGAGUUCGUCCCACCAGCAAGGUUGUGCAGCGUGAGAACCGAUUCAACCUCCUGGGGAGCCUUUCUAGCCAAGCCUGUUGUGGUCAGUUUUCAGUUCUCUCUUGCUCCUGGACCUUGUUCCAAAUUUGAUCUGCUCGAGAGGGAAGCGUGCUAGCGAAGGAGCUUGCCUGGAUGCUGGUAAGUGCAUCAUUGCUGCUUUAGCAAGCAACUUGGGACUUUUUUAUUUUUUUUUUUUUAUUUUGUUUAGUCAGAUGGAUUACAUCAAAGCGUGCGCGUUGCUGAUGGAGGCAGGCAUGUGGAUCGCCAGUCAACAGCAAGGGACCCAAUGAAACCUUCUGUAGCAGGGAAAGUUAGCUUAGUGGAUUGGUCUCAAAGGCAAAAUGUUUCUUCAGGCCUAGGUAUAAAGAUAAUUUAAGCAGUUCCCGUUCAGUCACGCUCUUCCUUUUAGUUUCACUGGCUAAUGCAGCAAGGCAGCAGAGCACUGUCGAGUUAAAUGAGUAUAUAUGUGUGUGGUCAGCAAGUAAAAUACAGCUUAAGUAUGAUUUCUGUCUCCGGAGCAAGAGUGUGUGUUAAAAAGGCUGUAUAACGUAUGGGUAUAUUUCUCUCAAAUGUUAAUAUUUAACUUGGUUUUAUUAGGGACCUGAAGAAGUUUAGCUGCUGUAACUGGAUGAAGGUUCAGUAUCUGGUUUUUCCUGUUAUUCUUUAUUUUUACUUAGUGUGAAGUUUUUAAUCUGCCUGAUAUUGCAGCUGGCUGGUGCUUUUUUUUUUUUUUAAUUUUCUUUUUUCCCCCCUUUUCCUUUCUCUUUCCUGAACGGAAACCACAGUUCAUCCAGACAGCCAGGGGCGUGGGGGGAACCUGGAAGAUGCUCUGCUUCCUGUUUUAUUCAUGGCAGCUAAAACCAUGUUGGGGAAUCUGGAGCAGAAAUCCACCGUCCCGCAUUCCUCUUGUCAUUUGGAGCAUGUAACACGUAUAGAGUGCUUUUAACGCUGCGCCGGGGGUUGUGUAGCAUCCAGUCCUGUGCCUCGGACAGAAAGCCCUGCACUUUGUCUUUUUACUUGGGAAGGGGCAUUGGUGAAAAUCCC